This 253-nucleotide ribosomal RNA is filed under the name uncultured bacterium. RNAcentral describes it as "partial 16S ribosomal RNA". It matches the Rfam family "Bacterial small subunit ribosomal RNA", at positions 524 to 776 of the family's 1533-position model. The record is from RNAcentral.
UACGUAGGGUGCAAGCGUUGUCCGGAAUCAUUGGGCGUAAAGAGCUCGUAGGCGGUCUGUUGCGUCGACUGUGAAAACCCGGGGCUCAACCCCGGGCCUGCAGUCGAUACGGGCAGACUAGAGUUCGGUAGGGGAGACUGGAAUUCCUGGUGUAGCGGUGAAAUGCGCAGAUAUCAGGAGGAACACCGGUGGCGAAGGCGGGUCUCUGGGCCAACACUGACGCUCAUGCACGAAAGCGUGGGGAGCAAACAGG